GACGAACGCUGGCGGCGUGCUUAACACAUGCAAGUCGAACGGAAAGGCCCUGCUUUUGUGGGGUGCCCGAGUGGCGAACGGGUGAGUAACACGUGAGUAACCUGCCCUUGACUUUGGGAUAACUUCAGGCAACUGGGGCUAAUACCGGAUAGGAGCUCCUGCUGCAUGGUGGGGGUUGGACAGCUUCGGCGGUUGGGGAUGGACUCGCGGCUUAUCAGCUUGUUGGUGGGGUAGUGGCUUACCAAGGCUUUGACGGGUAGCCGGCCUGAGAGGGUGACCGGCGACAAUGGGACUGAGAUACGGCCCAGACGGCAACGGGAGACAGCAGUGGGGAGUAUUGCACAGUGGGCGGAAGCCUGAUGCAGCAACGCUGCGAGCGGGAUGACGGCCUUCGGGUGGUAAACCGCUUUCACCUGUGACGAAGCGGGAGUGACGGUAAUGGGUAAAGAAGCACCGGCUAACUACGUG
Molecule: ribosomal RNA, 468 nt
Filed under: uncultured bacterium
Lineage: Bacteria
Description: partial 16S ribosomal RNA
Rfam family: Bacterial small subunit ribosomal RNA
Source: RNAcentral